UACGGAGGGAGCUAGCGUUGUUCGGAAUUACUGGGCGUAAAGCGCACGUAGGCGGCUUUGUAAGUUAGAGGUGAAAGCCCGGAGCUCAACUCCGGAAUUGCCUUUAAGACUGCAUCGCUUGAAUCCGGGAGAGGUGAGCGGAAUUCCGAGUGUAGAGGUGAAAUUCGUAGAUAUUCGGAAGAACACCAGUGGCGAAGGCGGCUCACUGGACCGGUAUUGACGCUGAGGUGCGAAAGCGUGGGGAGCAAACAGG
This 253-nucleotide ribosomal RNA is filed under the name uncultured bacterium. RNAcentral's name for it is "partial 16S ribosomal RNA". It matches the Rfam family "Bacterial small subunit ribosomal RNA", at positions 524 to 776 of the family's 1533-position model. The record is from RNAcentral.